Erinaceus europaeus (western European hedgehog) is the source of this 312-nucleotide unclassified non-coding RNA. Its record names the gene 7SK. It matches the Rfam family "7SK RNA". From Rfam's summary of the family: 7SK was discovered as an abundant small nuclear RNA in the mid-70s but a possible function has only recently been suggested. Two independent studies have found that 7SK RNA binds the CDK9/cyclin T complex (known as elongation factor P-TEFb). NCBI's taxonomy places the organism in Eukaryota, Metazoa, Chordata, Mammalia, Eulipotyphla, Erinaceidae. The record is from Ensembl.
AGAUGUGACGGCGAUCUGGCUGCGACAUCUGUCACCCCAUUGAUCGCCAGGGUUGAUUCGGCUAAUCUGGCUGGCUAGGCGGGCGUCCCCUUCCUCCCUCACUGCUCCAUGUGCGUCCCUCCCGAAGCUGCAUGCUCGGUCGAAGAGGACGGCCUUCCCCGAAUAGAGACGGACCGGUCUUUGGUCGAGGGUAUACAAGUAGCUGCGCUCCCCUGCUAGAACCUCCAAACAAGCUCUCAAGGUGAGAAAAUGUACCUAAGAUGCAAGAAAUUCAAGAACUUCAAAUGUUCUUCUUAUGAAUGUGUCACCUUU